Molecule: ribosomal RNA, 1409 nt
Filed under: uncultured bacterium
Lineage: Bacteria
Description: 16S ribosomal RNA
Rfam family: Bacterial small subunit ribosomal RNA
Source: RNAcentral
AGAGUUUGAUCCUGGCUCAGGAUGAACGCUGGCGGCGUGCCUAACACAUGCAAGUCGAACGGGGGAGCAUGACGAAAACACCGCUUGCGUUUUCCGAAUCAUGUUUUCCAGUGGCGGACAGGUGAGUAACGCGUGGGCGACCUGCCCUGUGCGGAGGGGAUACCGUCUGGAAACCUAUGCUAAUACCGCAUAGCCGCGUCAGCGCGCCUGGGCAGAUGCGGAAAGGGAGCGAUCCCGGGACCCGAUGGACCCGCGUCUGAUUGGCCAGUUGGCAGGGUAACGGACUGCCAAAGCGACGAUUACUAGCCGGCCUGAGAGGGUGGACGGCCACAUUGGGACUGAGACACGGCCCAGACUCCUACGGGAGGCAGCAGUGGGGAAUAUUGCACAAUGGGGGAAACCCUGAUGCAGCGACGCCGCGUGAGUGAAGAAGUAUUUCCGGUAUGUAAAGCUCUGUCAGCAGGGAAGAAGAAAGACGGUACCUGACCAAGAAGCCCCGGCUAACUACGUGCCAGCAGCCGCGGUAAUACGUAGGGGGCAAGCGUUAUCCGGAAUCACUGGGUGUAAAGGGAGCGUAGACGGCUGUGCAAGCUUGGAGUGAAAGGCGGGGGCCCAACCCCCGGACUGCUAUGGGAACUGCAAAGCUGGAGUGCAGGAGAGGUAAGUGGAAUUCCUGGUGUAGCGGUGAAAUGCGUAGAUAUCAGGAGGAACACCAGUGGCGAAGGCGGCUUACUGGACUGUAACUGACGUUGAGGCUUGAAAGCGUGGGGAGCAAACAGGAUUAGAUACCCUGGUAGUUCCCCCCGUAAACGAUGAUCUCCAGGUGUGGGGGGGGCAGGGCCCUUUGUGUGCGGAGGAAUAGCCAUAAAGUGUUUCCCCCGGGGGGGUGGGUCCGAAGGAGACGAAAGUAUAAAGAAAUGGGGGGGGUCCCGGCACAACCGAUGGAGCUUUUGUUUUAUUUGGAGGCAACAAGAAGAACUUACCCGUCCUUUUACAUCCGCCGGGCGGCAUAUGUAAUGUUUUUUCCUUUGGGGUCAGGGGAGCCAGGUGCUGCAGGGUUGUCUUCAGGCUGGUGUGUUGAGAUGUUGGGUUAAGUCCCCCAACGAGCGCAACCCUUUCCCCCAGUAGCCGGCAGGGAAGAUGGGUACUCUGUGGGGACUGCCGGGGACAACCCGGAGGAAGGCGGGGAUGACGUCAAAUCAUCAUGCCCCUUAUGGCCGGGGCUACACACGUGCUACAAUGGCGUAAACAAAGGGAAGCGAGAGGGGGAUGUUAAGCAAAACUCAAAAAUAACGUCCCAGUUCGGAUUGUAGUCUGCAACCCGACUACAUGAAGCUGGAAUCGCUAGUAAUCGCGGAUCAGAAUGCCGCGGUGAAUACGUUCCCGGGUCUUGCACACACCGCCCGUCA